UGACGUUUAGGUGAAGAACAGUGAGGCGCAUGCUAUGCAGCCCAGAAACAACCUUCAAGAGCUGUUUCGGCCGCCUUUUCGAUCUUAUUUUGAGGUUGGCAUGACUCUCUACCAUGGUCACUUCUAUGUCAGCUAUAGUAGAUUGAGUCUUAUGCAACUUUUCAUUCUUGCCAACAGAGUUUUCGAAAUGAAUUGAGCUUGUUGAGUACUGUGGAAAUGUAAAGAACUCGGAGAAAGGCAGUGAAGAAACAUGUUGCUGAUUAUCACCAUCAGAAUUUUCCUUCAUUUUUUUGCAGGCACCAAGUACUUGCAUCUUUUGUUCAAGC
This 326-nucleotide long non-coding RNA is filed under the name Populus trichocarpa (black cottonwood). RNAcentral's name for it is "long non-coding RNA (PTRI_LNC001404)". The record is from RNAcentral. Lineage: Eukaryota; Viridiplantae; Streptophyta; Magnoliopsida; Malpighiales; Salicaceae.